Molecule: long non-coding RNA, 1261 nt
Organism: Acanthochromis polyacanthus (spiny chromis)
Lineage: Eukaryota; Metazoa; Chordata; Actinopteri; Pomacentridae
Exons: 6
Source: RefSeq, a predicted model, not a curated record
CUUCCUCUACCUCUCCCUACUCCUUCUCUUCUUCUUUCUCUACCUCUCCCUACUCCUUCACGCUCCUCCACCUCCUCUCUUCUUCCUCUCCCUACUCCUUCUCUUCUUCUUUCUCUUCCUCUCCCUCCUCCUUUCCUUCCUCGUUUUCAUUAAAUUUAAUUGUAUAUUAAAUUUAAUGAAUAUGAGGUUCACGGGGCGCAUUACAGUGGUGGCAUGGUGGCAUACAUGUUUUUUUGAUUUAGAUUUAUCAUACAAGAAUUCUUUAAUUCUUCCAUAGGAUGUGAUACAUUUUCUGCAAGAUUCUCACACAUUUUCCUGGAGUUUUUUUUUUCCCAUCUCCAAGGUCUGAUGACCCCGGGAUUCAAACCGAAAGAAGGAUGAGAAGAAGACCCCACAGAUGAGGCCCAGCUCCAGCAGACACGUGAAGACGAGGAACCGAGCCCACCAGAGACGACCUUAGAGACGCCAACCAGCCUGCGAUGAGACAACAGGACAACUGUACAAGGAACAGAAUGCACUGCUGCUUCCUGGACACCAAAUGAUUUCAACAGGGAUGGAACAUCGAGGAGAAAUAAGUCAUUUUGAAGAAAAGAUGAUGGGAAACAUGUCCAGGACCAGUGCAUGAGAUGUGAGACCAGUCAACUAAUACAAAAGCUCUCUCUCCAAGACACCUGAUAAAAUGUAGAAUCAGAUCAAGACAAGAAACCCGAUAAGGAGCAGCCCCAGCAUGUGAACUCAGACUACGGAAGAGGGGAUGCUUAUUAUAGCGACAUAAAAGGAGGAAGUCGGAGCACAAAGAGAAAACCCCACAGAGACACAGAGAGAACAUGGACAGAAAGAACCAGAUGAGCAGCAGAAGACAAAGAAACAGUUCGAGGAGCCUCAGGACGAUCAACAACAGAAGAAAGCUGUCAGAGAACAGGAAGAAGAUGACCAACAGCAUCAACCAGAGAAGAAGAAGAGAAGCUCCAGAUUACUCCAAAGGUAUCUCUGGAGCUGGCCUCACCGACCUGCAAAGACUUCAUGCUCCUUCCUUCCUCUGUACCCUCAUCCCAAAUGGAGGUUUUUUUCAACUUCCUGGCAACAGGAAGUUUUUUUCCUCCACACUGCUAUCAAAUGCUUAAUGUGAUCAAACUACAAUAAGAGAUGGAGGUUUUUUUCAACUUCCUGGCAACAGGAAGUUUUUUUCCUCCACACUGCUACCAAAUGCUUGAUCUGAUCAAACUUCAAUAAGAGAGACUAAAAUAAAAAGUCAAAACAA